GCUGGCGGCGUGCUUAACACAUGCAAGUCGAACGAGAACAUGCAGUAGCAAUACUGUGAUGCCAAGUGGCGCACGGGUGAGUAAUGUAUAGGUAACAUGCCCUUAAGAGGGGGAUAACAGAGGGAAACCUCUGCUAAUACCCCAUAACCCUUCUUAUCAUAAGAUAAGUUGGCAAAGUUUUUUCGCUUAAGGAUUGGCCUGUAUAGUAUCAGCUUGUUGGUGAGGUAAUGGCUCACCAAGGCUAUGACGCUUAACUGGUCUGAGAGGAUGAUCAGUCACACUGGAACUGAGACACGGUCCAGACUCCUACGGGAGGCAGCAGUGGGGAAUAUUGCACAAUGGGGGAAACCCUGAUGCAGCAACGCCGCGUGGAGGAUGACACUUUUCGGAGCGUAAACUCCUUUUCUGUUAGAAGAUAAUGACGGUAUAACAGGAAUAAGCACCGGCUAACUCCGUGCCAGCAGCCGCGGUAAUACGGAGGGUGCAAGCGUUACUCGGAAUCACUGGGCGUAAAGAGCGUGUAGGCUGUUUAGCAAGUCAGAAGUGAAAUCCUAUAGCUCAACUAUAGAACUGCUUUUGAAACUGCUUAACUUAGAGUGUGGGAGAGGCAGAUGGAAUUUCUGG
Molecule: ribosomal RNA, 624 nt
Filed under: uncultured Campylobacterota bacterium
Lineage: Bacteria; Pseudomonadati; Campylobacterota
Description: bacterial SSU rRNA
Rfam family: Bacterial small subunit ribosomal RNA
Source: RNAcentral